UGGGGAAUCUUGGACAAUGGGGGCAACCCUGAUCCAGCCAUGCCGCGUGAGUGAUGAAGGCCUUAGGGUCGUAAAGCUCUUUCGCCUGUGAAGAUAAUGACGGUAGCCGGAGAAGAAGCCCCGGCUAACUCCGUGCCAGCAGCCGCGGUAAUACGGAGGGGGUUAGCGUUGUUCGGAAUUACUGGGCGUAAAGCGCACGUAGGCGGACCAGAAAGUUGGGGGUGAAAUCCCGGGGGCUCAACCCCGGAACUGCCUCCAAAACUAUUGGUCUAGAGUUCGAGAGAGGUGAGUGGAAUUCCAAGUGUAGAGGUGAAAAUUCGUAGAUAUUUGGAGGAACACCAGUGGCGAAGGCGGCUCACUGGCUCGAUACUGACGCUGAGGUGCGAAAAGUGUGGGGAGCAAACAGGAUUAGAUACCCUGGUAGUCCACACCGUAAAACGAUGAAUGCCAGUCGUCGGGUAGCAUGCUAUUCGGUGACACACCUAACGGAUUAAGCAUUCCGCCUGGGGAGUACGGUCGCAAGAUUAAAACUCAAAUGAAUUG
This 543-nucleotide ribosomal RNA is filed under the name uncultured bacterium. Its description in RNAcentral is "bacterial SSU rRNA". It matches the Rfam family "Bacterial small subunit ribosomal RNA", at positions 355 to 912 of the family's 1533-position model. The record is from RNAcentral.